This 800-nucleotide ribosomal RNA is filed under the name Allomuricauda sp. RNAcentral's name for it is "bacterial SSU rRNA". It matches the Rfam family "Bacterial small subunit ribosomal RNA", at positions 66 to 860 of the family's 1533-position model. The record is from RNAcentral. Lineage: Bacteria; Pseudomonadati; Bacteroidota; Flavobacteriia; Flavobacteriales; Flavobacteriaceae.
GGGGCAUCACGGAAAAGCUUGCUUUUCUGGUGGCGACCGGCGCACGGGUGCGGAACGCGUAUGGAACCUGCCCCUGUCAGGGGAAUAGCCCAGGGAAACUUGGAUUAAUGCCCCAUGGUACCGCGAUAUCGCAUGAUAUUGCGGUUAAAGAUUUAUCGGACAGGGAUGGCCAUGCGUACCAUUAGUUAGUUGGUGGGGUAACGGCCCACCAAGGCAGCGAUGGUUAGGGGCCCUGAGAGGGGGAUCCCCCACACUGGUACUGAGACACGGACCAGACUCCUACGGGAGGCAGCAGUGAGGAAUAUUGGACAAUGGGCGGGAGCCUGAUCCAGCCAUGCCGCGUGCAGGAUGACGGCCCUAUGGGUUGUAAACUGCUUUUAUACGGGAAGAAAUGCGCCCACGUGUGGGCGUCUGACGGUACCGUAAGAAUAAGGACCGGCUAACUCCGUGCCAGCAGCCGCGGUAAUACGGAGGGUCCGAGCGUUAUCCGGAAUCAUUGGGUUUAAAGGGUCCGUAGGCGGGCCUGUAAGUCAGGGGUGAAAGUUUGUGGCUCAACCAUAAAAUUGCCUUUGAUACUGCAGGUCUUGAGUCAUGGUGGGGUCGCCGGAACAUGUGGUGUAGCGGUGAAAUGCAUAGAUAUCACAUAGAACACCGAUCGCGAAGGCAGGUGGCCAACCAUGUACUGACGCUGAUGGACGAAAGCGUGGGUAGCGAACGGGAUUAGAUACCCCGGUAGUCCACGCCGUAAACGAUGGAUACUAGCUGUGGGGACUUCGGUCUCCGUGGCCAAGCGAAUGUGA